This 2417-nucleotide long non-coding RNA is filed under the name Zea mays. RNAcentral describes it as "long non-coding RNA (ZMAY_LNC001078)". Lineage: Eukaryota; Viridiplantae; Streptophyta; Magnoliopsida; Poales; Poaceae. The record is from RNAcentral.
UUGAAUUGAAUGGGGCCCGCCCGUCUCCUGGUCACAUAAAGGGCAGCGUGGAGGGUGGGGGCAGACAGGCAGUCCAUGGUGAGCCACGCGGCCUGACGUCCAGCACCGCUCGUGUGCCGCCAUCCAGAGAAAGAACUUGCACUCCAAGUCUCCAACGGCGCCCAGAUCUUCCAAAUACGCCUGCAAGGCUGAAAGGAAAUAGUAUGGGUGAAGAACCGAUGGUAGCUGGACUUGGCAGUGUACUGAUCAGCUAGCGAAGUCUUGUCAUACUUCAGCAGCAGGUUUACUGGCAGCAAACUGGAACCCAAUGCUAAAGUGGGAAAUUGUCUAAACAAAAAUAUGUAUGAGUACUGUUCUGCUCCUCACCCGAGGCAUCAAGCAUCAGAUUUUAGAAAGAACAAAUUCAGCCAGGAUCUUCAUAGGCGACAAGGCGACCCCCCCCCAGGGCAAGCUGGGUACACUUAUCGCCUAAGCGCAAGGCGUAACAAGACCCCCUCAAGGAGAGCUGGAUCUGCCCGGACACCUACACUACGCCUUUGAAACAGAGGCCUUGAUUGGGGUAACAGGACACUUAUGUACUAAUAUACACAGGGCAAACAUGAAUCCACACCAAAUCAGCUGUAUUGACUAUUGACUUAUAUAAGAGAACCAUUUGUUCACCUAGCCUUCAAAGAUGCCAUUUUGAUAUAACACUGAGCCCUAGAGUAGUCCCUCCGACCCAAAAAAAAACCAGCAAUUGUAUGGUUCAAAUUUUGUCCCAAAUUAAGUGCAACCGUAGGCAUUCUGUCAUCACCAGCUUGUGGAUCCGCUAAAAAAUCAGCCGCACACCUCCUCAACGGACGCCCAGAACCAUAAGCAUCUCGUCCACUCGUUCACCACCCCAUUCUCCAACUGUGCAGUGUACACGAUGCACCUGCUCUCCCACAUCUUCCUGAGAUUCCGGUGAGAACUUCCUGCUCCAAGACGCAGGGAAGAAACUCUAUCCUCACGCGCUGUGAGCCCGCCCAUGCCAAGCUCCCUGCCCCAGUCAUGGCCACGGCCCUUGGCAGCAUCGUCGACCUCCCUCAAGCCCCUACUGCGGAUGCCAUCCAAGCAUUCGGAGAGGAGUGGUGGUGUGUGGUCACGUGGAGUGCUUGUUCCAGCAGCCAUCAUUCACCUCUCCUUGCACUAACGUGGAGGAGCAGGGAGUUCGAUGCCGUGAUGGAGAGGCGUGUGGAUGCUAGAAGGUGGUGGCGCGUGUGGGGAUACCACGGCAUGGGAAGGGCCACAAAGCAGCCAGAAACCACCUGAAGACGAGGAAGCUUGGAAUCGGAUCCAAGCGAGCGAGCGGUGGUACUCAGGGCAAGGAUGAUGAGGUAGCUAUGGGACGCAGUCGGGAACCUUCUGAGGACGAAGAGUCUGGAAUGGGAUUGAGAUUUUCCAAAUGUAUUAUUGCAAUUUCACAUCCAUAAUUGGUAUCCAUGUCAGGUCCUACAAUCGUAUUCUUUGUGGGACCAAGGGAGUAGGUGAGUGACUUCAGUAUCUAAAAAAUUCCAUAAAAUUAGUGCGGUGAUAGCUAUAGCUAGUGGCAGUAUUUUCGUGCUUCAGCAAUGGGUUUGUUGACAACAAACUGGCCGCCUAAAUGGGUAACCAGAUAGUGAACAUACAAAGGAAUAGGGAGCUCUUCUUCACCUCAUCCAAGACAAGGAUUCCUUCUGAAAGAGCUAUCUGUAUCUAAUAAUGAUUUUAGGAUAACACCGAUGCAGCAAGCAUCAUAUUCACAUUGGGAUAAUAGGAUAUGUCCAUUCUAAUGAACAAGGCAAAAUUGCAGAGCCAAUACGACCAGGAAAUCAUUUCUUCGCCUAGCGCCCAAUAGAUCCCAUACUGAUGCCAUACUAAGCCCUAUAUAAUUGAGACUCGGCGGAGCUUCAAUCAAAGGUGAAGAACGAACUCCACCAUCUAUCGAUUACCGCGACCCCUAUGAUGAACAAGAACGAAUCUGCGCCGAUGGCAGGAGUCCUAGAAUCAAACAGCCUACCAACGGAGCAAGAAUCGCCCACUAUUCCACCAAGGCCUAUUCCAUCCAUGGUCUCCCCCCACACCAGGAACAGCACAUUGGCCUAACCGCAACGGCAGCUAGACACAAUAGUAUAACACACCAUGUCCCAAAAAGGAAGCGGCUAGACAAGCUCACCGUCGAGGGAUGGCGCACCCAGCAGGCGAGCGGCGAGGAGAAGAGUCCCGCGGCGCCGCUGCCACUCGCACGCCACCAGCCGCGCACCUCUCCUUCGGUCCUUCCCUAGGCAGUAGGCACUAGGCAAGGCAGUUCUUGGGGUUGGCAGCCAGAACCGAGGAGGACGGACGACUAGAAAACCAUUAAACUAUACGAAAAGGCUGGAGCACGAACUGAAAGCGACGCGCCGCGCCGCGUGUAUCCG